RNAcentral lists this ribosomal RNA (524 nucleotides) under uncultured bacterium. RNAcentral describes it as "partial 16S ribosomal RNA". It matches the Rfam family "Bacterial small subunit ribosomal RNA", at positions 355 to 888 of the family's 1533-position model. The record is from RNAcentral.
UGGGGAAUAUUGCACAAUGGGCGAAAGCCUGAUGCAGCAACGCCGCGUGAGGGACGACGGCCUUCGGGUUGUAAACCUCUUUUAGCAAGGAAGAAGCGAAAGUGACGGUACUUGCAGAAAAAGCGCCGGCUAACUACGUGCCAGCAGCCGCGGUAAUACGUAGGGCGCAAGCGUUAUCCGGAAUUAUUGGGCGUAAAGAGCUCGUAGGCGGUUUGUCGCGUCUGCUGUGAAAACCCGAGGCUCAACCUCGGGCCUGCAGUGGGUACGGGCAGACUAGAGUGCGGUAGGGGAGAUUGGAACUCCUGGUGUAGCGGUGGAAUGCGCAGAUAUCAGGAAGAACACCGAUGGCGAAGGCAGAUCUCUGGGCCGUAACUGACGCUGAGGAGCGAAAGGGUGGGGAGCAAAACAGGCUUAGAUACCCUGGUAGUCCACCCCGUAAACGUUGGGAACCAGUUGUGGGGUCCAUUCCACGGAUUCCGUGACGCAGCUAACGCAUUAAGUUCCCCGCCUGGGGAGUACAGCCG